GGAAUAGGGAAGAGGGGGCAACGCCCAGGAGGAAAGACGUCCCACAAAGCUCUGCUGCCUUCCUGCCCCUGGGGCCUUUGCCCGCCCUACUACUAGGAAUAAAUCUACAAGCAGAUGCAGAAUAGCAAUAGGGCAGAGCUGGAAAGAAGACCAGGCUUUGGCUGCUGGUCCUGUCCCUGCACCAGAGUGGUUGUGUGACCUUGAAUACGUGGCUUCACUCUUCUGAGGCUUGGUGACCUCUGCUGUCAAUGGUAGAGACGACCCGGGUGUUCCCAAGAUUCCUCCUGCUGAGAGUAUCAGCAGGUCUGAGUAUCUAUAGAGACCAGGGGGGAGCCAGGUUGAGAUCAGCUACGGCUAGCAGUGCAGGAAGUGAGUCUUAAUCUGUACCUUUGCCAUUGCCAGAGAAGGGCAGGCAGCCAUGGAAGGCUGCCUUUUAAUUUCUACUAUUGUGGAGAGUAUGACUUGGGGCCACUUUACUUAGUACUUGGAGCUUCUCCAGAGCCCCACGGCUUGGGAGUCUCUGUGCUAUGACUGAUAUCCUCACUCUAGAGAAAUUUUGUGCCAAAACUUGGAAUGAAAUUGGAUAGAGAAAUUGGUCUCUUCUGGCCCCCUUCCUGAUCGGCCCCAUCAGUCAAAUGCAGCAGACUGCAACAAUACAAGAAGUUUUUCACUGAAGAGUCAGAGCACAGUAGCAAAAGUGGAUGACCAACCUGGAAGAAACUAACAGAUGCAAGAUCACUGCCUGGCUUUUCUUUCCUUACUUCAGUAAAUAUUUCAUAGAACAUCACUGAGCCCGGAAUUUCCUAGGUAAAGUGAGCAACUAAAUGAACAAUAAAAAUGAUUAUCACAUGCA
Long non-coding RNA from Panthera uncia (snow leopard), 853 nucleotides. RefSeq lists it as uncharacterized. The record is from RefSeq and is a predicted model, not a curated record. Lineage: Eukaryota; Metazoa; Chordata; Mammalia; Carnivora; Felidae. The transcript is spliced from 4 exons.